GACGAACGCUGGCGGCGUGCCUAAUACAUGCAAGUCGAACGCAGUGGGGACGGGUGCGUAACACGUGGGUAACCUCCCAUCAGAGGGGAUAACACUUGGAAACAGGUGCUAAACCGAUACUGAUGGAUGGACCAGCGGUGCAUUAGCUAGUGGGGGAGGUAACGGCUCGCAAAGGCCACGAUGCAUAGGCGACUGGGGAGGUCGAUCGGCCACACUGGGACUGAGACACGGCCCAGACUCCUGCGAGAGGCAGAAGUAGGGAAGCGUCGGCAAUGGACGAAAGUCUGACCGAGCAACGCCGCGUGAGUGAAGAAGGGUGUCGGAUCGUAAAACUCUGUUGUUAGAGCAGCGGUAUCUAACCAGAAAGCCACGGCUAACUACGUGCCAGCCGCCGCGGUAAUAC
Molecule: ribosomal RNA, 403 nt
Filed under: uncultured bacterium
Lineage: Bacteria
Description: partial 16S ribosomal RNA
Rfam family: Bacterial small subunit ribosomal RNA
Source: RNAcentral